UCUCAGUUCGGAUCGGAGUCUGCAACCCGACUCCGUGAAGCUGGAUUCGCUAGUAAUCGCGCAUCAGCCAUGGCGCGGUGAAUACGUUCCCGGGCCUUGUACACACCGCCCGUCAAGCCAUGGAAGCCGGGGGUGCCUGAAGUGUGCAGCCGCAAGGAGCGCCCUAAGGUAAAACCGGUGACUGGGGCUAAGUCGUAACAAGGUAAC
Molecule: ribosomal RNA, 207 nt
Filed under: uncultured bacterium
Lineage: Bacteria
Description: partial 16S ribosomal RNA
Rfam family: Bacterial small subunit ribosomal RNA
Source: RNAcentral